AUACGGAGGAUCCAAGCGUUAUCCGGAAUCAUUGGGUUUAAAGGGUCCGUAGGCGGGUUUGUAAGUCAGUGGUGACAGUUUUCGGCUCAACCGGAAAAUUGCCAUUGAUACUGCAAGUCUUGAAUCAUUAUGAAGUGGUUAGAAUGUGUGGUGUAGCGGUGAAAUGCAUAGAUAUUACACAGAAUACCGAUUGCGAAGGCAGAUCACUAAUAAUGUAUUGACGCUAAGGGACGAAAGCGUGGGUAGCGAACAGGAUUAGAAACCCCAGUAGUCC
RNAcentral lists this ribosomal RNA (274 nucleotides) under uncultured bacterium. RNAcentral describes it as "partial 16S ribosomal RNA". It matches the Rfam family "Bacterial small subunit ribosomal RNA", at positions 523 to 796 of the family's 1533-position model. The record is from RNAcentral.